Molecule: ribosomal RNA, 984 nt
Filed under: Haloferax volcanii
Lineage: Archaea; Methanobacteriati; Methanobacteriota; Halobacteria; Halobacteriales; Haloferacaceae
Description: bacterial SSU rRNA
Rfam family: Archaeal small subunit ribosomal RNA
Source: RNAcentral
CAUGCUAGUUGCACGAGUUCAUACUCGUGGCGAAAAGCUCAGUAACACGUGGCCAAACUACCCUACAGAGAACGAUAACCUCGGGAAACUGAGGCUAAUAGUUCAUACGGGAGUCAUGCUGGAAUGCCGACUCCCCGAAACGCUCAGGCGCUGUAGGAUGUGGCUGCGGCCGAUUAGGUAGACGGUGGGGUAACGGCCCACCGUGCCGAUAAUCGGUACGGGUUGUGAGAGCAAGAGCCCGGAGACGGAAUCUGAGACAAGAUUCCGGGCCCUACGGGGCGCAGCAGGCGCGAAACCUUUACACUGCACGCAAGUGCGAUAAGGGGACCCCAAGUGCGAGGGCAUAUAGUCCUCGCUUUUCUCGACUGUAAGGCGGUCGAGGAAUAAGAGCUGGGCAAGACCGGUGCCAGCCGCCGCGGUAAUACCGGCAGCUCAAGUGAUGACCGAUAUUAUUGGGCCUAAAGCGUCCGUAGCCGGCCACGAAGGUUCAUCGGGAAAUCCGCCAGCUCAACUGGCGGGCGUCCGGUGAAAACCACGUGGCUUGGGACCGGAAGGCUCGAGGGGUACGUCCGGGGUAGGAGUGAAAUCCCGUAAUCCUGGACGGACCACCGAUGGCGAAAGCACCUCGAGAAGACGGAUCCGACGGUGAGGGACGAAAGCUAGGGUCUCGAACCGGAUUAGAUACCCGGGUAGUCCUAGCUGUAAACGAUGCUCGCUAGGUGUGACACAGGCUACGAGCCUGUGCUGUGCCGUAGGGAAGCCGAGAAGCGAGCCGCCUGGGAAGUACGUCCGCAAGGAUGAAACUUAAAGGAAUUGGCGGGGGAGCACUACAACCGGAGGAGCCUGCGGUUUAAUUGGACUCAACGCCGGACAUCUCACCAGCUCCGACUACAGUGAUGACGAUCAGGUUGAUGACCUUAUCACGACGCUGUAGAGAGGAGGUGCAUGGCCGCCGUCAGCUCGUACCGUGAGGCGUCCUGGUAA